RNAcentral lists this long non-coding RNA (709 nucleotides) under Mytilus galloprovincialis (Mediterranean mussel). Lineage: Eukaryota; Metazoa; Mollusca; Bivalvia; Mytilida; Mytilidae. The record is from RNAcentral.
GUCCGGGAAUGUGUCACAUGCCGCGCUUGCAUAACGUUUUAAAGGGACAUAGCCGUAUUUGGCACAAUUUUUUGGAAUUUUGGAUCCCCAAUGCUCUUCAUCUUCGUACUUGUUUGGCUUGAUAAAUAUUUUGAUAUGAGCGUCACUGAUGAGUUUUAUGUAGACGAAACGCGCGUCUGGCGUACUAAAUUAUAAUCCGAUAACUAUAACUUAAAAAAAUACUGCAAUAAUGACGCUUCCCAAAUUUGAACUUCUUUGUAUUCUGAGUUUUGUGGUAAUAAGCAGUGUAUAGUUUCAUAACAUUUGAGGGCCCUCAUGGGGUUUUUGAUUAUAUGAUUACUUGGCCGUUUUUUUAAUGAUUAUUUGAUUAUUAAGCCAAAUAUUUCAUGAUUAUUUGAUUACCUAGGACUGUAUUUUUAGUUUAUGAUUAUUUGAUUACUAAAGAUAAGCAAAUAUUUAAUGAUUAUGUGAUUAUAUUGGCAAAAAAAUGGUGAUUAUGUGAUUACUAGGACCCCCCCCCCCCCAUGAGGGGCCUCACAUAGUUGAGACAAACUUGAGUGUGUGAACAGAAACGAAAAAUUCAGCAUUUUUUUCAUUUUUAUAGGGACACAACUCUAGAACAAUACAAGAGACGCCACCAAAAUUCCAACUUGAUCUGUGUUUUGUGGUAUUGAGCGUUGUGUAUGAAUUUAAUAAAAUUUGGUUGAGG